CUUGAUUUUUGAGUGGUGCCUUUGACUCUGUCAUUCAGUCAACAGAUGUUUACUGAAUACUAUGUGGAGGUUGGAAGUACCAGGAACUAGCAGGGGACACUUGGGGUGGCUGUCACUCUUGAACCUAAAGGCCUGGAUUCAGAGCCCAACUCCACGCCCACGUGCACUGUUUACUGACCACAUUAUCACAGGUGAGCCAUUACCCCUGCCCUGGAUAAAUGGCCAGCAGAGGCUGAGAAGUUUAUGCUUUCUGGGGCUGACAUCCAUCAACAGGCUGGACGAGGCGUCCUGAGCUGUUUAUCUAUAAAAUGUUGUGAGGGUGAAGGUCCUAUGAAAUGAUGCGAAGUAUUAUCACCUUCAUUUGUCGGCAGAUAGCAUCCCAGGUGCUGGCGAGAGAAAAAUAAAACAACCACCUGCCCUCGUAGCCCUCUCGGGAGAGCAGGGAGUGUGGAGAGCCCUGCCGGGUCCCCGUUGGGCCCAAGAAGCUUGUAUUUGUAAUGCCAUGAAGUUACUGGAAUUCUAGCGAGUUAAUGCCAACCUACCACUUCCCAGUGCAACCCGUGGUGAAAAUCAAGACCCUGAGGCACAUCUGUAGUUAUGGGGAGCCAGGGGGUCCAAAGUCCAGGCACCAUGAUGGCUAUCAGGAACGAAGGCCUCCGCCCUUGGCCAAGCCUGGGCUUUAUUAAUUCUGAAGAAAGCAGUGGCUUGAGGAUGAGGGACUGUGAGACUGGCAGGCAGUAGGUGAGGGCUGCGAGCUGGGCUGGGUGGAAGGCCCGAAGCCACCUCUGCGAGAUGCAGAGAGAGGGCCGUGCAGAGGGAGUAACCUGCAUAGCACAACUGAGGUAGCGCCUAACGUUUUGGGGCUGGCCCUUCAGCUCUGAGGUGCAGUCUUUCAAGCCCCAGGAAGUCACAGCCUCUCCUAUCUCCAGGCCCCACUCCAGCUGACAGCAUGGAGUAUCGGCUCUUCACCCCACCUGUCUGGGCUCACAGAAGAAAACAGUGGCGAUUCUGAGGAGAUACUGUCUACCCAGACUAGCAUCAGCUCCCCAGCUGAACCAAUAUGCACUGGUUAAAGCCAAUUAAAGGGAUAAGGAAUCUGAGGCCCGAGAGGAGACCCUUUCACACUGUCAGGAAUACAAAUGAGGCUGGGGAGUAGAGUGGAGAGGACACGACUCCAGAGGGCCUUCUUCACAGAAUGAGCCAAAAGGAAGACAGAAUUGGCGAGGCAGUGGGGGAGCUGGGCAGUCAUCCAUUAACAGUCUUGUCUGCCUGGAACUGGGCCCUGGGAAGGCUCUCCCUGCUUCUUCAGCCAGACCCCUGCCCUUGCUGCUAUCCCCCUAACCUGGUCUGUCCCAGUGCUCCCCGCUAUCACUUCCUGCUGGGCUCCCUCCAAAGACCAGCCUUGUGAGAUGGCAUGAGUGCACGGGUCAACCCAAGCCACUGGCCUGGGCUAGCAGGUGGCACAGCUGGGGGUGGGGUGGGGUGGGGACAGGAGAUGGGGUAGCAUCUCCCUAAGUAUGUUCCACAGGGAGGUUGCACUCAGCGCCUUUAGACUGCUUGAAAAAGGAGCUGGAGCUUCUUGAGACCAUCUGAGGGGAAACAUCAUUUCCCUCCCUUGGUGCACAGAAGGGGAACCACCGAGACCGAGCGAGCAGCCUGCCAGCUGGAAAAAGCCCUGGAGAAGACCUCAGGUCAGCCUCCUGCCCCAGCACCCACAGUGGUCUGCGCGGCCCACAGGUUUUCCUUGUGGUCCAGCGAGCCAUGAAUAAGUAGAUCUGGCCAACUGCAUCCCGGAGAGACCCACCUGCCAUGAUCACCUCCUGAGACGAUGCCCUUACUGCAGCUCUCGUGACCUAAAUCCUGGGACUACUGAAAAGCUGCAGGAAGGCUGGACUUAAGGACCUGUCGCCUCGUCCUGCCUCACUUGCACUUGCUGAGGGCUACAGCAGGUCGCAGGGGCUUUCUGACCAUCUGCACCACUGCUUUGCUCUUUCCAGGGCCACCGGCUCAACUGUGGCUUUCCACAGUAGGCAGUGUGGGGCUACAGCAGGUGCCACAGCAGGGCCACCAUCCGAGGGCCUCAACCGUAAGCAAGGGACUUGGGCUCCGAGUCCAGCCAUCCUGGUUCUAGCGGCAGCACACGCAGUGACAGCCACCCCACCGGUGGCCUCCCACUUCCCUUAGGCUGUCACUUCAGAGCCGAUGUGGGGUCUCCUCCGAGACAGCUCCCUAAGUUGGGCACGUUUUCCUCAUCCCUUCCCUGACAAAGCAGCAAAUGCUGGCCCUGUCUGCCAGGGUGAUGCCACCACUGUGCUGUGUGCUGGAGCAAAAACCCUUGGGGGACGCCCUUCCCAGACAUGCCCAUCAGCGCCACUUCUGGUCACUGGGCUCCGGGUGCCUUCUGGCCUCGAGACAUGGAGCUGACCACCUCUGAGCCCCAACACCCUCAGAGCUGCUGUGCUCAACUGGAAACUGUUUCCCUUGCCCUUGCUGAUAACGCUGUUUUGCAUUUAUCUUCUGGCUGCUCCAUGUGUGGUUGCCCUUCCUGCCUAGAUAAUGACGUCAAGGCCAAGCUGACUAAACAAGAGGCAAAGGCAGGCAUCUGCGCCUUGCAUCAUCUGAGUCUUUCAAAAUCUCCCACUUCCACAUAUCAAUCCCCAUCCUCCUCAAAGAAUUUAUUAGGAAUUGAUGCACACACAGGGUGUGGCCUCUUCCUGGGAGACGGAAGAAGUGUCAUCUAAAACCUCUGUGGGCCACUUCCACAAAGGCCUCACAUUUGGUUUUGGGGGCACUUCCCGAAAGCUGGGGUGGGAAGGAAUGUGGAGCAGGGGUGCAAACAGGGCAGCACAAACUCAGGUGGGAAACCAACAGACCUGGAGAGCACAGGCACGUGACAGAGCCCUCAGCAUCCCCCUGGAGUGGCUGUCAC
Molecule: long non-coding RNA, 2929 nt
Organism: Octodon degus (degu)
Lineage: Eukaryota; Metazoa; Chordata; Mammalia; Rodentia; Octodontidae
Exons: 3
Source: RefSeq, a predicted model, not a curated record